AUUGAACGCUGGCGGCAGGCCUAACACAUGCAAGUCGAGCGGAUGAAGGGAGCUUGCUCCUGGAUUCAGCGGCGGACGGGUGAGUAAUGCCUAGGAAUCUGCCUGGUAGUGGGGGAUAACGUCCGGAAACGGGCGCUAAUACCGCAUACGUCCUGAGGGAGAAAGUGGGGGAUCUUCGGACCUCACGCUAUCAGAUGAGCCUAGGUCGGAUUAGCUAGUUGGUGGGGUAAAGGCCUACCAAGGCGACGAUCCGUAACUGGUCUGAGAGGAUGAUCAGUCACACUGGACCUGGGACACGGUCCAGAUCCCUACGGGAGGCAGCAGUGGGGAAUAUUGGACAAUGGGCGAAAGCCUGAUCCAGCCAUGCCGCGUGUGUGAAGAAGGUCUUCGGAUUGUAAAGCACUUUAAGUUGGGAGGAAGGGCAGUAAGUUAAUACCUUGCUGUUUUGACGUAACCAACAGAAUAAGCACCGGCUAACUUCGU
Molecule: ribosomal RNA, 483 nt
Filed under: uncultured bacterium
Lineage: Bacteria
Description: partial 16S ribosomal RNA
Rfam family: Bacterial small subunit ribosomal RNA
Source: RNAcentral